CAACGCCACGAGUGGCAAUCACAAUUAUUGGGCCUAAAGCGUUCGUAGCCGGUUUAAUAAAUCUUUUGUGAAAUCAUGGGGCUUAACUCCAUGCCGUGCAGGAGACACUAUUAGACUUGGAACCGGGAGGAGUCAGAAGUAUUCUGGGGGGAGCGGUAAAAUGUUGUAAUCCCCGGAGGACUACCUGUGGCGAAGGCGUCUGACUAGAACGGAUUCGACGGUGAGGAACGAAAGCUGGGGGAGCAAACCGGAUUAGAUACCCGAGUAGUCC
This 271-nucleotide ribosomal RNA is filed under the name uncultured archaeon. Its description in RNAcentral is "partial 16S ribosomal RNA". It matches the Rfam family "Archaeal small subunit ribosomal RNA", at positions 477 to 747 of the family's 1478-position model. The record is from RNAcentral.